RNAcentral lists this ribosomal RNA (825 nucleotides) under Textularia agglutinans. Its description in RNAcentral is "bacterial SSU rRNA". It matches the Rfam family "Eukaryotic small subunit ribosomal RNA", at positions 1160 to 1610 of the family's 1831-position model. The record is from RNAcentral. Lineage: Eukaryota; Foraminifera; Textulariida; Textulariidae.
AAGGGCACCACAAGAACGCGUGGAGCAUGUGGCUUAAUUUGACUCAACGCGGGAAAUCUUACCGGGUCCGGACACACUGAGGAUUGACAGGUAUUAUUAAAAAUAUUUAAGUUCGCUUAAUAUAUUUUUAUGUUAAAUAUGCUAGUCCUUUCAUGAUUAUGUGAUAGGUGGUGCAUGGCCGUUCCUUAGUUCGUGGAGUGAUCUGUCUGCCUAAUUGCGUUUCACUAAGGGCCUAUAUAUAUUACGUGCGUUGCAGGUACUUUGACCCCUCACAUUGAAAUAUUAUGUUUGAGUGCGUGUCUUAGUUUGCUUUUGCUCGCACAAUUAGGUCCUGAAAGCAACGAACGUGACCGCAACCUCUUGUUGCCUUUAUCCCAAAAAUCAUGUCGUUGUAUUUUAUACACGCGUGGUAAAAAAAGGCUUUUAAACUAGAGGGACCGCUGUAAUCUUUUUAAACCAGAGGAAGGUUGCGGCAAUAACAGGUCUGUGAUGCCCUUAGAUGUUCCGGGCUGCACACGUGCUACAAUGAUUAUUGCAGUGAGCAUCUCAUUUAUUAUACACCGCAUGCGCGUGUCCAUUUAUGCACAUAUUUUAUAUGUCGCAUAGAUGUGUACAUUGUGCGCGGUAAAGCCUACUUCGAAAGUAAGUGGGUAAUCAAUUAGAAGUAAUGAUUUCCUUUUUUUCGCACACAUAUAUGCGGCAUCUUUACCCGGGCGGAGCUUGUCUCUUCUUUUGUGCGUAUCGAUGUUUUUUCCGCAUGUGCAAUUGUCAAUUCAUGGUGGGGACAGACCAUUGUUAAUUGUUGGUCUCGGUCUUAACUAGGAA